AUUUACGUCCCCUGCCCUUUGUACACACCGCCCGUCGCUACUACCGAUUGAUGGCUCAGUGAGGCGUCCGGACUGGCCCAGAGAGGCGGGCAACUGCCACUCAGGGCCGGAAAGCUCUCCAAACUCGGUCAUUUAGAGGAAGUAAAAGUCGUAACAAGGUCUCCGUUGGUGAACCAGCGGAGGGAUCAUUA
RNAcentral lists this ribosomal RNA (191 nucleotides) under Calonectria colhounii. Its description in RNAcentral is "partial 18S ribosomal RNA". It matches the Rfam family "Eukaryotic small subunit ribosomal RNA", at positions 1643 to 1831 of the family's 1831-position model. Lineage: Eukaryota; Fungi; Ascomycota; Sordariomycetes; Hypocreales; Nectriaceae. The record is from RNAcentral.